GAAAAUUUAUUUCGGCUUUAGUUUUAUAGAAAAGUGCGGUUAAUUUUAAAAAAAUUUUCUAGUGAGAAUAGUUAUUUUUCAUAAAAAAUCCCAAGUUAUAUAACUUGGGAUGAAAUGGUGCGACUAGCUGGACUCGAACCAGUGACCCCCACCA
This 154-nucleotide antisense RNA is filed under the name Pasteurella bettyae CCUG 2042. RNAcentral's name for it is "Bacterial antisense RNA HPnc0260". It matches the Rfam family "Bacterial antisense RNA HPnc0260". Lineage: Bacteria; Pseudomonadati; Pseudomonadota; Gammaproteobacteria; Pasteurellales; Pasteurellaceae. The record is from Rfam by way of RNAcentral.